GACCUAGGAUCAGGGAUGCUGUAUAGAGGGGCUUGCGCCAUAUUAGUUAGUUGGUAGGGUAAUGGCCUACCAAGACGAUGAUGUGUAGCUGGACUGAGAGGUUGAACAGCCACAUUGGGACUGAGACACGGCCCAAACUCCUACGGGAGGCAGCAGUAGGGAAUUUUCGGCAAUGGAGGAAACUCUGACCGAGCAACGCCGCGUGAAUGACGAAGUACUUCGGUAUGUAAAGUUCUUUUAUCAAGGAAGAAAAGCAAAUGGCGAACCAUUUGUUUGCCGGUACUUGAUGAAUAAGCCCCGGCUAAUUAUGUGCCAGCAGCCGCGGUAAGACAUAAGGGGCAAGUGUUAUCCGGAAUUAUUGGGCGUAAAGGGUGCGUAGGCGGUCUAGUAAGUCAGUGGUGUAAUGGCAACGCUUAACGUUGUCCGGCUAUUGAAACUGCUAAACUUGAGUUAGAUAGAGGCGAGUGGAAUUCCAUGUGUAGCGGUAAAAUGCGUAAAUAUAUGGAGGAACACCAGAGGCGUAGGCGGCUCGCUGGGUCUUAACUGACGCUGAGGCACGAAAGCGUGGGGAGCAAACAGGAUUAGAUACCCUGGUAGUCCACGCCGUAAACGAUGAGUACUAAGUGUCGGGUUAAACCGGUACUGAAGUUAACACAUUAAGUACUCCGCCUGAGUAGUACGUACGCAAGUAUGAAACUUAAAGGAAUUGACGGGACUCCGCACAAGCGGUGGAUCAUGUUGUUUAAUUCGAAGAUACCCGAAAAACCUUACCAGGUCUUGACAUGUUUUUGCAAAAUGAUAGUAAUAUCGUGGAGGUUACCAGAAACACAGGUGGUGCAUGGUUGUCGUCAGCUCGUGUCGUGAGAUGUUAGGUUAAGUCCUAAAACGAGCGAAACCCUUAUCGUUAGUUGCCAGCACGUUAUGGUGGGGACUUUAACGAGACUGCCAAUGAUAAAUUGGAGGAAGGUGAGGAUCACGUCAAAUCAGCAUGCCCCUUAUGACCUGGGCUACAAACGUGAUACAAUGGCUGUUACAAAGGGUAGCUGAAACGCAAGUUCUUGGCCAAUCCCCAAAAACAGUCCCAGUCCGGAUUGAAGUCUGCAACUCGACUUCAUGAAGUUGGAAUCGCUAGUAAUCGCGAAUCAGCAUGUCGCGGUGAAUACGUUCUCGGGGUUUGUACACACCGCCCGUCAAACCACGAAA
Molecule: ribosomal RNA, 1203 nt
Filed under: Bushehr sesame phyllody phytoplasma
Lineage: Bacteria; Bacillati; Mycoplasmatota; Mollicutes; Acholeplasmatales; Acholeplasmataceae
Description: bacterial SSU rRNA
Rfam family: Bacterial small subunit ribosomal RNA
Source: RNAcentral